Molecule: ribosomal RNA, 496 nt
Filed under: uncultured bacterium
Lineage: Bacteria
Description: partial 16S ribosomal RNA
Rfam family: Bacterial small subunit ribosomal RNA
Source: RNAcentral
GACGAACGCUGGCGGCGUGCCUAAUACAUGCAAGUUGAGCGCUGAAGGUUGGUACUUGUACCAACUGGAUGAGCAGCGAACGGGUGAGUAACGCGUGGGGAAUCUGCCUUUGAGCGGGGGACAACAUUUGGAAACGAAUGCUAAUACCGCAUAAAAACUUUAAACACAAGUUUUAAGUUUGAAAGAUGCAAUUGCAUCACUCAAAGAUGAUCCCGCGUUGUAUUAGCUAGUUGGUGAGGUAAAGGCUCACCAAGGCGAUGAUACAUAGCCGACCUGAGAGGGUGAUCGGCCACAUAGGGACUGAGACACGGCCCAAACUCCUACGGGAGGCAGCGGUAGGGAAUCUUGGGCAAUGGACGAAAGUCUGACCGAGCAACGCCGCGGGGGGGAAGAAGGUUUUCGGAUCGUAAAACUCUGUUGGUAGAGAAGAACGUGGGUGGGAGUGGAAAGCUCCGCAAGUAACGGAAAUUACCCAGAAAGGGACGCCUAACUACGU